Molecule: ribosomal RNA, 483 nt
Filed under: uncultured bacterium
Lineage: Bacteria
Description: partial 16S ribosomal RNA
Rfam family: Bacterial small subunit ribosomal RNA
Source: RNAcentral
GACGAACGCUGGCGGCGUGCUUAACACAUGCAAGUCGAACGCUGAAGCUCAGCUUUUGUUGGGUGGAUGAGUGGCGAACGGGUGAGUAACACGUGAGUAACCUGCCCCCUUCUUUGGGAUAACGCCCGGAAACGGGUGCUAAUACUGGAUAUUCACUGGUCUUCGCAUGGGGGUUGGUGGAAAGGGUUUUUCUGGUGGGGGAUGGGCUCGCGGCCUAUCAGCUUGUUGGUGGGGUGAUGGCCUACCAAGGCUUUGACGGGUAGCCGGCCUGAGAGGGGGCCCGGUCACAUUGGGACUGAGAUACGGCCCAGACUCCUACGGGAGGCAGCAGUGGGGAAUAUUGCACAAUGGGCGCAAGCCUGAUGCAGCGACGCCGCGUGAGGGAUGGAGGCCUUCGGGUUGUGAACCUCUUUCGCUCAUGGUCAAGCCGCAACAAUGGUUGUGGUGAGGGUAGUGGGUAAAGAAGCGCCGGCUAACUACGUG